Molecule: long non-coding RNA, 897 nt
Organism: Gigantopelta aegis
Lineage: Eukaryota; Metazoa; Mollusca; Gastropoda; Neomphalida; Peltospiridae
Exons: 3
Source: RefSeq, a predicted model, not a curated record
CUCAGAUUAUUAUUGAGAUCUUGUGUUAAAAAAAGUCAGUUGAGUGCUCACUUGAGGUGCUUGCGACGCAUGAUCGAACUACCGCGAUGGAUCCAUUCAGCUGAUUGUUUUCUUUUCUCGUUCCAACCAGUGCACCACAAGCUAUUUAUUUAUCAGCCGAUUGUUUUCUACAUUGCACACAAAAACAGAUAAAAGUUGAAAAUGUUGGUUUGUUGAAUUGUCCAGAUGUGAAACAAUGAUCUACUACAUGUAUUUCAAGCAAUAAACUAAUGUUUAAGGGGGUCAAGUACCUUUAAACGAAAGAACAACAAACACAAUGUCAUUGAUGCACGUACAUUUUUAAUACCUGAUGAACAAGCAGUGCACAUUGUUGCUGUAUAUUUAAACUUUGAACUUCAAGAAGAACAUGAUUAUUCUACAUAUAUAAACUAUAAAUGUAACCAAAUGGACACCUGGCAAGUCAGGUGUGGCAAAACUUGAAAAAAUUAAUAAUGAUCACAUUUGAUUGAUUAUUGUUUUAAUGAUUUAUAGCAGACAGAUUUUUUUAUUUGGGUAUAAAAUUUUAUCAGUUUAUCAGAUCUUCAUACAAUUGAUAUUAAGUGUAGUGGUUUCAGUCAUCCUGAAUUAGUGUGUAUAACAAAUGUUACAUUGUUGUGUGCUAUAUCACAACACAUUAUAAAAAAUUUAAUAUAACUUUGUCGAGUAUUAAUUUGCUCACUUGGUCCAUAUAUCCCUAUUUCAUGAUUGUCAAAUCAAAUAUAAUAAUAUGGAGUUACUUCCCUUAUACUACUGUGCUUCUUGGGACACUAAUGCAUAGGUUUACUGUUAACUCCUAUUAAGUUUGUGUAACACCAAAAUGUCGCAUGCUGUGAAACAAAUUAAACUCUUCAAAAUACA